UUUCACUAGCUUGCGUCACACUUUGUCACUUAUAAUACACUAUUAAAUUUAAAUACUACUGUAAUAAAAAAGAAAGGGAAUCCGACUAGAAAAACAUUUGCAAUGUGAAAAAUUGCUAGGAUUGGCCCAAGGGAAACCUUUAAAAAGCGUGGAAACAAGAAAUUCGGCGAGUGCAUAACUCCAAUCCGUACAGCUAGUGCUGAUAACUUGUAUAAUAAUAAAAAUAGCAUCACAAUAGUGCAGUGACAGAUUAACAAUCUUUCAAUUAUAGGAUCAUUAAUUCUGGUGGUGGCAAAUUGAGCAGUCUUUGGCUAUCACAUCUAGUUUGUUAAUUGUAGGGUAAAUGAUUGUCUAUACACUGACAGUAUACACAUGCAAUGUCACAGUGUGUCCCUUUUAGCUCUUUGUUGAAAAGUAUAGCCCAGUAGCUAGUAGCCCUGAGGCUAUUGUUCUGUUAUGAAAUCAUUAUCAUACUUCAUGCAUCAAUGAUUGUCUGGACUGUCUUUGCUCUUUCUAUUGGGACUAUUGGGACUGUCUUUCUUCUAGAUCUUUGUCUUUAUUUGUCUCUUUACUUGACACUGUCUCUUAGUAUAGCCCAGUAGCUAGUAGCCCUGAGGCUAUUGUUCUGUCAAGAAAAUUCAUUAUCAUACUUCAUGCAUCAAUGAAUGGUCUGGACUGUCUUUGCUCGUUCUAUUGGGACUGCAUGUCUUGCAUGUCUUUCAUCUAGAUCUUUGUCUUUACUUGGCACUGUCUUUGCUCAAAACUGUAAAGGGGGUAUAACAAAACUAAAACACAUACUUUAAACAAUAGUCCCCCAGUACCAUGCUUUGGUGUGAUGGACGCCAGCAUCAUCACCUGGGGAUGUACCAGCUGGUGAUGUGUCUAAAUCAAAGAGAAGUAAGAAAACAAAGUCAACAAAGUCAUUUGCAAGCGAAGAAAAACAGGAAAGAGUUGAAACUUUGAAGGUUCGAGGCAAACAUGGAACUGCACAUACUCCUAUACAGUAGUACACUCUUUGGGCAGAAAUGAUAGAUGUGAUAGAUGUGGGUACUCAUAGCAGCAUCGACGAACCACCCUCUGUGCCUAUGUUUCAAGGAAAAGCUAGACAGUCUAAGGCUAAAGCAGGUGACAAUGAAAUGGCAACAGUUUUUACUGAAAUGGCGAAAUCAUGUAUUGGCACCUACUACCAAAACGUCUUCUAGCACUAGUACUGGCGUUAUGUCCCCUGGAAAGGUUGCAGAGUUAUGUUCAAAAUAUUUACAGCAAUUACAUCAGCUGUUUGAGCUCUUUCUCUAGAGUUUUUUGAUCAGAAAUCACCGAUUUUGGAUCAGCUCCGUUUAAUUGACUCAAACAAUGAUAAUUUUGGCAGAGAAAGUGAAUAAUAAUGUUUGUCAAAAUUUAACAUUUGUGAUUCUACAUAAUGUAACCAGCGUGUUUGAUGGACAAUUAUGAAGUGAAAUUGUGCUAAACGCAUGGGUUAUCAAUACUCUAGGAAUUCGUAAUUAUCAAUCAGUUUUUGCUUAGUUUCGGCAAAGACUUCCUCGAGUGGCAUUAAAUCAGGAGAAUAAGGGGAUAAGAACUUGACUAAUGCUCCAACACUAUUGAUUAUAUAUAUUUUGUACUGUAUUGAAGCGUUGUCUAAGAUUACAACAGAAUGAGCAUUGAGGCCAUUAAAUGGCAUUAACAAUGGAAGGACUGUUUGUCUGAUGAAAUCAAUAAAAACAUCUCCAUUAACACCUGCUUCAUAUAUGUAGACAUCUAGUAUACCAGUCAUUGACAUAACUGGUAUUGCCGAAUGCCGAAUACCUUUUACCUCCAACCCUUAGUGCAAAGUUAUGUGCUGGUGUUCCUCUUAUACUGUACCCAUACUUUCUCCGUUUCAUCAAUCCAUAGCAGCAUUUCUGGUUGGAAAGCUGAUAUCUCAGCCAUAUAUAUAGCUCUCUUUGCUUCACUUUGUUGAAGAGCAAUAUAAUGUCUAGAAAAACCGAGUCUUUUGAGAGUCCUGCAAAUAGUCGAAUAGUGGACAUAAGUUCCAGUAGUGUUUGCUACCACAUCUCGAAGUUCAUGAAGAUAAAUACCAGGAUUUUGAUAUAUUUGUUUGUUUGGAUAAGGGUCAUCUCUUCAAAUUCAUUUAGUUCUAGAAUGUUAGCUGCAUCAAAAGCGCUCAUAUGGUGAUGCAGGCAGAGCCACACCAUUCUCCAACGGAGAUCAGUUGAGUAGGGUUGUGGCAUCAGUCACACAGACUCGAUCACUGUAGCUAGCUUCACAGAAAGUAUAUGUAGUGACUAGGUAUCUAUUGCUAGUGCUAGCUACAAAUAGAGUGCACUUGCUCAAUCCACCCACAAUUCAAUUAGGUACUAUUUGUGGUUUGGCUAUUCAGUUAUUGAGUUGGACAACGGAUGUGCAAACCACGGUACAGCAGUUACUCUGUCAGGAUCUCCUGGUUUCCAAUGGAACAGCCACAGCGAAGGAUUAGCAUUCGCCUCGGGCAAAGAAAGAUGCAACUAACUAACUUACUGCCUAGCAUUCUCUGUCGGGAUCUCCUGGUUUGGAACGGACAAGCCAAUGCCACAGCACUUCAUAGGCAAAACCAUGCUGUGUCCUUCCUUUUGUUUUUGGCAACUGGUGAUGAAGAGGGAAGUGAGCUAUUCCUAGCGAUUUCAAGGGUGUCUUGGUCUGUUUGAGCCAACUCGUGACGGAAUGAGCGUUGGGCAUCUGUAGUACCCUCUGAGCUGAUCCCCUCUGUCGACACCAGCGAUUAUAGUCCUUGACUGUACGUUGUACAGAGGUGACCGAAGUGGCGUCAGAGGCUGUGGAGAUCACACGGACAACCCUAUUGUCCUUCCAAGCUGAGACCGUCACCUUGUCACCUUGUCUUUCUGAAAGCCGCCUAUGCGGUCAGCGCGAGCUGUACCACAAGCAUAAAUGCCAUCCUUCUCCAAGUCUUCCAACAGUUUGACAGACGUGAAAAAGUUGUCGAAAUAGACGUGGUGGUGCUUGUGCUUCAACGAGGCUGUGAGGCAACUCGUGCUUCUCUGGUGUGGCUUCUCUCCCUGUAUACACUUGUAGCAUGUGGAAGUACCCAUUGGAGCUGUCUCUUCACUGGUUUAUUCACUGGUUUAUUUGGGAGGUACUGUUUGAGUGCAGAUCUACCCUGAAACUUUAUCAUUGCCUCGUCUACUGCAACUUCACGGCCUAAGUUGUAUGCAGCAGAACAGCGCUUAUUGAAGGGGCGUACUUUGGCCAAACGAUCGCUACCUGGGGUGCCUGGAGUCGGGAGAGUGGUGUUGUCCGUGAAAUGGAGGUAUCGUCGGAUGUCCCUAAAGUGAUCGCGUGAGAUCUUCGAUGCAAUUGGUGAGUAGUGGAAUUGCACGUCUCUCCUCCAAUAAUUUUCAAUUGAUGGGAGUUUCACGAUCCCCAUGAAAAUGCAGAAUCCCUUUAGCUCAGCAGUCGUGAGUGGGGUCCUUUUAUCAUGUGGCCUAGCGUAUCGAUUUGUCUCGGCUACCAUUAUUUCAGUGGGAGAACUUGAGAUGGAUACAGCUGGGCCUCUCGUGAAUGGUCAUGAAAGGGGGAACUGGGGAACUGUUUCAGGUGUGUGUGUGUGUGUGUGCGUUGUGUGGUGUGUGUGUGUGUGAUGUGUGUGUGAAUUAAGCUUUGCUGUACUGUUUUUUUCUAGUCUUCUAGAGUACUGUUGUCAGAUUGUAUGAUAACGGCAAAUUUACAAUUGUUUUGUAGUAACCGUUAUUAUAAUGUUGUGCAACUACAUGUACAUUAUUACCUCUUACUUGUGUAAAGUUAUAAUUAAGUGUAGGGUCAUGUUUUAGGCAUUCCAAAGGUACUUUUUGGCUACUUUUUGGCUUCUGUGAGAUUAAUUCUGACAAUGCAUUGUCUGUUCCCAAUGCCAAUGUGUUAGGCCUAGCCUGCAAUGCUUUAGUAUUAUUACCUAGGGAAAGUCUGUCCUGGUACAGAUUCUCUCUAUUAUUGUCAUGCACAUUCAGAAGUUGUGUGUUAUUAUGGUGCAACUAUAACCUUUUUGUAGGGUCAAAGGUCACUUCAAUUGUGGUUGUACUUUUAAGAUAAUUGUUUUUACUUGCAAUGUAAUGUGUAGUAGGCACCCUCCAAUUCUUUGUGCUUUUUUGUUCCCAAUGUAUUCCCAGUGAUAAUGCUUUUUUGUUCCCAAUGUGUUCCCAGUGCACUCCUAAGGAUCAAUUUGAUCCUAAUCACUAUACCUGUUACAAUUCAAUUCUGUUUGGCUUUUCUCUGCACUUCUUUGUACAGUUCCCAAUGAUAGCUUGUUGACUUGUACAGGUACCCCAAGGUCACACACACAUCAAAUAUAUAGUACAGUACAUGUGUAAUACUGUAACUAUUUACUUACCCUGUAGAAGUAGUAAUAGCUCUAGCUCUGCCUCUUCCCCUCCUGCCUCUGUGCAAAUUAAUAUUUAUAUAGUGUACAAUCUAAUACCUUCUCGUUGCACCUACACCCUUGCUCUGCCUCUGCCUCUGUAAAUGUUACUACAUUAUAAUUUAACUAUAGUCGUGUACUUUGUGUCACCUUUUUGUCCCAAAGCUGUUGGAGGAAGUGGGGGUAGUGGGGGUUCAAAAUCUGGUGAAAAGCAGAGGGUGAUGUCUGGGGGUGAGAGGCUGGAUGUGAGCAGUUGAUGUCUGGUGGUGAGAGGGGAUGUGAGAGAACUAGGGGUCCAUGAAAUCGCCCAUCGCUGCCAUAGGGUCAUCACAGUCCUCUAAGUCUAAGGACCAUGGUCACUGCUAUCCAGGAGAUCCUCCAGUACCUCCUCUCUAGUAUACAAGAGCCUCUUAGUCAUUGUUGUCCUGUAGAAUUAGAAUUAAUUUUUAUUGUGUUUGUUGAUCUUCACUUGUGUUGUAUCUUCACUUUGAAUUUUAA
Halichondria panicea is the source of this 4903-nucleotide long non-coding RNA. RefSeq lists it as uncharacterized. The transcript has 6 exons. The record is from RefSeq and is a predicted model, not a curated record. Lineage: Eukaryota; Metazoa; Porifera; Demospongiae; Suberitida; Halichondriidae.